GUGGGGAAUUUUGGACAAUGGGGGCAACCCUGAUCCAGCCAUGCCGCGUGCGGGAAGAAGGCCUUCGGGUUGUAAACCGCUUUUGUCAGGGAAGAAAUCCUUUGGGUUAAUACCUCGGAGGGAUGACGGUACCUGAAGAAUAAGCACCGGCUAACUACGUGCCAGCAGCCGCGGUAAUACGUAGGGUGCGAGCGUUAAUCGGAAUUACUGGGCGUAAAGCGUGCGCAGGCGGUUUUGUAAGAUCGAUGUGAAAUCCCCGGGCUCAACCUGGGAACUGCAUUGGUGACUGCAAGGCUGGAGUGCGGCAGAGGGGGAUGGAAUUCCGGGUGUAGCAGUGAAAUGCGUAGAUAUGCGGAGGAACACCGAUGGCGAAGGCAAUCCCCUGGGCCUGCACUGACGCUCAUGCACGAAAGCGUGGGGAGCAAACAGGAUUAGAAACCCGGGUAGUCC
Molecule: ribosomal RNA, 450 nt
Filed under: uncultured bacterium
Lineage: Bacteria
Description: partial 16S ribosomal RNA
Rfam family: Bacterial small subunit ribosomal RNA
Source: RNAcentral